AGUGAAGAAAAGAAGAGAGUGGAUGAGUUACCCAAGAUAUAUCCAUCAAGAGUCUCAUUUUCUUCAGCCUUAGAAGCCAGUUCUUCCACUUUAGAAUUACCUUCUCCUUCAGAAUUAAAAUUAUCUUUGAUCACAUUUGAGAAUACAUGUUUAAAAUCAACUGACACCCUUUCAGCACCCAUUAUUUCAAACUCAACUCCUAACCU
Molecule: long non-coding RNA, 206 nt
Filed under: Elaeis guineensis (African oil palm)
Lineage: Eukaryota; Viridiplantae; Streptophyta; Magnoliopsida; Arecales; Arecaceae
Description: long non-coding RNA (EGUI_LNC070356)
Source: RNAcentral